GGUGUCCAAAACAUAGUCACGGGAGUCGCUCAUGUGGUCACGUACCACGUUUUGAACGUUUCGUACCCAAACGGGGUACAGAGUCGAUCCCAACGCCAUGCGAAACGCUCUCUGGUACGGCUCCUUGGCGAUCCGAGCAAUCACCCGGUACGAUGUCGGGAAUGCGUUUCUGUCGAAUUGGAUCGCAGCAAUUCGUCGAUUGGGUCGACGAUUGCAAAAAAAACGGCGAUUGGAUCACCGAUUGGGCGGGAAUGGUGAUGUCGAAUCCAAAAAGUAAUGAUUCAGAAAAAAAAACACUUCGACAAUUGGUUUGAUUCCUCGAUACUAGGUACACCGUAUCGGGACCAAUGGUACGCCGUACCGGACACAUACCGAAAUGAACCUACCCCCCUCGUACCCGAUACGCCCAACCUCAUGAAUCCCGUUCCCGUUCCCUGUUCCCAUACCAGACCGUACCACGAACUAUGUGACUAUGGUCCAAAAUCAAGAUUUUUUUUUUUUAAUCCUAUAAUUACUUUUGCAUACAAUAAAUAACUCAAGAACAAUCAAGAUCCAAGUUGCAUGCUUUCUAUAAAUGAAAAUAGAGAUGGAUAAAUCUUCACUUUAAUCACUUCAACAUUGGUGUGAAUCAUGUCUUCAAUAGCCCUCUCUAUUUAAUGGCCCCUAGUAACGAUCAUAUCUCACCUUCAUAUAAUUCCAUAACCAAAGGAACAACAUUAUCAUCUUCAUAAGUGUCUUAUAAGCCCCCAAUAUUUUGAUGUGGUGGCAUUACUGACAUGUUUCAUAAUCUCAACUUACUUCCUUACAUCUUCAAUAUGCGCCCUUGUUCUAAGCUUCUUUUUUGAAAUUGAUUUACAGGCAAUACUUUACAGGUAGAUUUAUCGGUACAUAUUGUUUGAGUUAUAGAUAUUGAAUGUCAAAAUCAUUAAAAUGAUAAAAAUCACAUAUUUUAAGGCCUACAACAUAAGUAUGCUCUAAAAAAAUAUAUCUUACUCGAUGCAUGUCCCCUAGUUAAUCAUUAACCCAAACUCUUUUCUCAAAGACUAUAAUAGUCAAGUUUUUAAAAAAAAAAGUAAUAAUAAUAAUGAACUUAUAGUUGUGGUCUUCCUCUAGCAUACAAUUCCAACAUGCAUUAAUAAUGCCACAUAAGAAAUGUGGAAAACUUUAAUCUCAUAUAAAUUAUUAUUAUUAAUAAAAUAAAAACAUACAUUAAAGGAAUAGUUGUUCUGUUGAGCAGCGUAUUAUUCCAUAAGAUAAGCUUGCUUUUAGUGACAUUCCCCAAAUUAAAAUCAUGCUCAACAACUAUAAUAAACGAUUCAAAAUAAAAUUAAAGCAGUAAUAAAAGUUCAGAUGAGUAUAAUCAGGUAUAAUUAGAGGGAAAAAAUACCAUUGAAGAGUGUUAGAAAUACACAAAUGUUGUGGCUAAAAAGAUAUAAAUUAUUGAAUUAGAGGGAAAAAAUUACCAUUGAAGAGUGUUAGAAAUACACAAAUGUUUUGGCUAAAAAGAUAUAAAUUAUUGAAAAUUCGGGAGAAUGUGUCGCCUUUAAAUUCACCAAGAAAGCCAAGAAACAUCAUGUAGAUCAUAACCCUUAACUAUAUUAGUAAACCAGUCAUACUUGUCUUGAAAUCUUCAACAUCCUCACUCAAGACUUAAAAAGAGACAUGAGAGAGAUGUUAAGAUGAUGUUACCUCAGAAGGGGUUGGCCAUGAAUGAUGUUGAUCAUAAUGAAGACAUUUGUAGGGAUCAUUAUAAAAAAAAUUGGAUGGUUGGCCAAAAAAAGAAAGAAAAUAGCAUAUUAUCAUAAAACUACAACAACAGGUCUUUUGUCUUAAGCUAAUCAAGAUAGGCUAAAAAUGAUAAUUGGUCUUUUUCUUAAGCUAAUUAAGAUAGGCUAAAAAUGAUAAUUUCUUUGGGAGAUGUUUAAGUCUUGUAUCAUCAGAUUAUUCCGCUGAUCUUUAUAUAAAAAUUGUUAUCAAAUUUAUUUUAAGAUGUCGUUUUCAUCAUAGAUCGCCUGGAUCAUGAACCACUCAACAUAACUAAUCUGUGAAUAAAAAACAACAAAAAAUCCACAAUAAGCUAUGAUAAAUCCACAAAAAUCAACAAAAUGAAAUCUUUACAAACCCAUGACUAAAUGAUCAUUUUACCCUCAAAUAACAAAAAAAAAAAAAAAAAAAACCAAAAAAAAACAAA
Lactuca sativa (garden lettuce) is the source of this 2191-nucleotide non-coding RNA. The record is from RefSeq and is a predicted model, not a curated record. Lineage: Eukaryota; Viridiplantae; Streptophyta; Magnoliopsida; Asterales; Asteraceae.